RNAcentral lists this ribosomal RNA (253 nucleotides) under uncultured bacterium. RNAcentral's name for it is "partial 16S ribosomal RNA". It matches the Rfam family "Bacterial small subunit ribosomal RNA", at positions 524 to 776 of the family's 1533-position model. The record is from RNAcentral.
UACGGAGGGUGCGAGCGUUAAUCGGAAUUACUGGGUGUAAAGCGUGCGUAGGCGGUUAUCUAAGUCAGAUGUGAAAGCCCCGGGCUUAACCUGGGAAUUGCAUUUGAUACUGGGUGACUAGAGUUGAGUAGAGGAGAGUGGAAUUUCAGGUGUAGCGGUGAAAUGCGUAGAGAUCUGAAGGAACACCAGUGGCGAAGGCGGCUCUCUGGACUCAAACUGACGCUGAGGUACGAAAGCGUGGGUAGCAAACAGG